AGCAGCCGCGGUAAUUCCAGCUCCAAUAGCGUAUAUUAAAGUUGUUGCAGUUAAAAAGCUCGUAGUUGAAUUUCGGGAUCAGAUUGUCGGUCGUGCCUCGGUACGCACUGGCAUUAUUGGUUCCUACCUCCUGAAGAACCGCGAUGUCAUUAAUUUGGUGUCGUGGGGAAUCAGGACUGUUACUUUGAAAAAAUUAGAGUGUUUAAAGCAGGCGCACGCUUGAAUACAUUAGCAUGGAAUAAUGAAAUAGGACGUUUGAUUCUACUUUGUUGGUUUCUAGGAUCGACGUAAUGAUUAAUAGGGAUAGUUGGGGGCAUUAGUAUUCAAUUGUCAGAGGUGAAAUUCUUGGAUUUAUUGAAGACUAACUACUGCGAAAGCAUUUGCCAAGGAUGUUUUCAUUAAUCAAGAACGAAAGUUAGGGGAUCGAAGACGAUCAGAUACCGUCGUAGU
RNAcentral lists this ribosomal RNA (450 nucleotides) under uncultured Glomus. RNAcentral describes it as "SSU rRNA". It matches the Rfam family "Eukaryotic small subunit ribosomal RNA", at positions 569 to 1024 of the family's 1831-position model. Lineage: Eukaryota; Fungi; Glomeromycota; Glomeromycetes; Glomerales; Glomeraceae. The record is from RNAcentral.